AGCGAACGUUAGCGGCAGGCCUAACACAUGCAAGUCGCACGAGGAAUCCGGGCUUCGGCCGGUAGUAAAGUGGCGGACGGGUGAGUAACNCGUGGAUAAUCUGCCCUUCGGCGGGGGACAACAGUCCGAAAGGGACUGACUAAUACCGCAUACGUCGGCGAGGUCUUCGGAUCUUGGCCGGGAAAGAUGGCCUCUUCAUGAAAGCUA
RNAcentral lists this ribosomal RNA (207 nucleotides) under uncultured bacterium. RNAcentral's name for it is "partial 16S ribosomal RNA". It matches the Rfam family "Bacterial small subunit ribosomal RNA", at positions 29 to 214 of the family's 1533-position model. The record is from RNAcentral.